CCUGGUGGCUCAACCGGUAAAGUGUCUGCCUGCAAUGCAGGAGAUCCGGGUUCAAUCCCUGGGUCAGGA
Molecule: transfer RNA, 69 nt
Filed under: Ovis aries (sheep)
Lineage: Eukaryota; Metazoa; Chordata; Mammalia; Artiodactyla; Bovidae
Rfam family: tRNA
About the family: Transfer RNA (tRNA) molecules are approximately 80 nucleotides in length. Their secondary structure includes four short double-helical elements and three loops (D, anti-codon, and T loops). Further hydrogen bonds mediate the characteristic L-shaped molecular structure. tRNAs have two regions of fundamental functional importance: the anti-codon, which is responsible for specific mRNA codon recognition, and the 3' end, to which the tRNAs corresponding amino acid is attached (by aminoacyl-tRNA synthetases). tRNAs cope with the degeneracy of the genetic code in two manners: having more than one tRNA (with a specific anti-codon) for a particular amino acid; and 'wobble' base-pairing, i.e. permitting non-standard base-pairing at the 3rd anti-codon position.
Source: Rfam by way of RNAcentral